Molecule: ribosomal RNA, 678 nt
Filed under: uncultured bacterium
Lineage: Bacteria
Description: bacterial SSU rRNA
Rfam family: Bacterial small subunit ribosomal RNA
Source: RNAcentral
UGAUCCCCCACACUGGUACUGAGACACGGACCAGACUCCUACGGGAGGCAGCAGUGAGGAAUAUUGGUCAAUGGGCGCAAGCCUGAACCAGCCAUCCCGCGUGAAGGAAGAAGGCGCUAUGCGUUGUAAACUUCUUUUCCAGGGGAAUAAAAUUUUGUACGUGUACGGAAUUGAAGGUACCCUGGGAAUAAGCAUCGGCUAACUCCGUGCCAGCAGCCGCGGUAAUACGGAGGAUGCGAGCGUUAUCCGGAUUUAUUGGGUUUAAAGGGUGCGUAGGCGGACUAAUAAGUCAGUGGUGAAAACCUGCAGCUUAACUGUAGAACUGCCAUUGAUACUGUUGGUCUUGAGUGUGGUCAAGGUAGGCGGAAUGUGUAAUGUAGCGGUGAAAUGCUUAGAUAUUACACAGAACACCGAUUGCGAAGGCAGCUUGCUGGGCCAUUACUGACGCUGAUGCACGAAAGCGUGGGGAUCGAACAGGAUUAGAUACCCUGGUAGUCCACGCCGUAAACGAUGAUCACUCGCUGUUGGCGAUACACAGUCAGCGGCUAAGCAAAAGCAUUAAGUGAUCCACCUGGGGAGUACGGCCGCAAGGCUGAAACUCAAGGAAUUGACGGGGGCCCGCACAAGCGGAGGAACAUGUGGUUUAAUUCGAUGAUACGCGAGGAACCUUACCUGGGC